AAGGAGUAGUAGCGAUGAAACUUGCUUUCAGAUAAGCUUCUGGUAAAGGGAAGCACAGGAGAAAACCAAGAGGAGCUGCAGGGCUUUUACCUACCCCAGACAGAAGAAAGGAAGACUCCUCUCUGGGAAAACCAAUCCACCUAAGAGAAAAGAACUACAGAAUCAGCAUCUGGGGGACUUUAUCUGACAGCUCUUCAACAGGCCCACCAGAAGAACCAAAGAUCCAUGAAGGAAGAUUAAGAGGUAUAAGGCUGAAAGAUCUGUGAAUCCAGAACACAAAGGUCUUGAAUUCCAGGUGGGGGCAAGAAGAAAGGGAGAUCAAGACCGAGAGAUAUGGAAGCUAAGGGAGAGGAAAAAUCAACCAUUCAAGGACAGAAACGUCGCAAUAAAGAAGUGCCACCUAGGAAGCCCAAUAGGGAGAGGAGCAGCCAAGAAAUCGCUGGAGGCAGGAUUAAAGGGACCAGAGAAGCUCAUCAAGAUUAGGAGACCCACCACCUGAGACCCUGCAGACAUCCUGAUCUUGUUAGCAAUCUCCCCCUAAACUCCUCACCAAACUCUCCUGUGUUGAGACACAUCAUUUUCCAGAGCAAGAAUCUGCUGUGUCUCUCUUUGCCUGGCAAAGCAAUAAAGCUAUUCUUUUCCACUUCAUCCAAAACUCUGAGAUUUGAUUUGGCCCCAGUGUACAGGGAGGCUGUACACUUGGAGAAGGCAAUGGCAAC
Molecule: long non-coding RNA, 719 nt
Filed under: Capra hircus (goat)
Lineage: Eukaryota; Metazoa; Chordata; Mammalia; Artiodactyla; Bovidae
Description: lncRNA (ENSCHIG00000001005.1)
Source: RNAcentral